Molecule: ribosomal RNA, 253 nt
Filed under: uncultured bacterium
Lineage: Bacteria
Description: partial 16S ribosomal RNA
Rfam family: Bacterial small subunit ribosomal RNA
Source: RNAcentral
UACGUAGGCAGCAAGCGUUGUUCGGAAUUACUGGGCGUAAAGAGUGUGUAGGCGGUGCUCUAAGUUCGGUGUGAAAUCUCCCGGCUUAACUGGGAGGGUGCGCCGGAAACUGGAGUGCUCGAGCGUGAGAGAGGAAAGCGGAAUUCCUGGUGUAGCGGUGAAAUGCGUAGAUAUCAGGAGGAACACCGGUGGCGAAGGCGGGUCUCUGGGCCGAUACUGACACUGAGAAGCGAAAGCGUGGGGAGCGAACAGG